RNAcentral lists this ribosomal RNA (250 nucleotides) under uncultured bacterium. RNAcentral's name for it is "partial 16S ribosomal RNA". It matches the Rfam family "Bacterial small subunit ribosomal RNA", at positions 28 to 279 of the family's 1533-position model. The record is from RNAcentral.
GAUGAACGCUAGCGGCAGGCCUAACACAUGCAAGUCGAGGGGUAGAGUUUCUUCGGAGACUUGAGACCGGCGCACGGGUGCGUAACGCGUAUGCAAUCUGCCCUUUACUGGGGAAUAGCCCGGAGAAAUUCGGAUUAAUGCCCCAUAUGCCCACGGAAUCGCAUGGUUCAGUGGGGAAAGUUCCGGCGGUAAAGGAUGAGCAUGCGUCCCAUUAGCUAGUUGGUGAGGUAACGGCUCACCAAGGCGACGA